Non-coding RNA from Erythranthe guttata (spotted monkey flower), 1998 nucleotides. NCBI's taxonomy places the organism in Eukaryota, Viridiplantae, Streptophyta, Magnoliopsida, Lamiales, Phrymaceae. The record is from RefSeq and is a predicted model, not a curated record.
ACUAGGGUUUCGAGAGAGGCAAAUCUAGAGAGAGAGAGGCUUGCGGUAUGAUGAAAGGGUCGGAAUUGCGACGGAAAAGGAACGGCGGGAGGCACCAACGUGGAGGUGGUUGCAGCCUCUGGUUUCGUGACGGAGAUCGCAGCCGCAGCCGCAGCCGCAGCCGCUGUCAUCCUUUCCAAAUCAAAGAGACGGGAGAUGCUGCCGCAUUAGCUGUUCAUCUCUACAACAAAACACAUCUCAACAAAUACAGUGUAGUGGAAGUGCUGAGUGCAGCUGAAGUAGGACUUAUACUGAAUAUAAUUUUUACCGCUAAGCCUGAGCCUGAGGAGGAGGAGGAUUCUGCUUUUGAUGAUAAUGAGUAUCCCAUAUAUUUUCGAGCUUCCGUUAACAACCUUUAUACGUGUGUUGAGUAUGUUGAAAUUGUCCGUGAUGCUCACCUGCACGCUCUCGAUUAUAAUCUUCCGAAGAAGAAGGAGCCUGUAGAUAUGUUUCGAGAUGGCCCUGUCUUGUACGGCCCGGCCCAGAUUGCACCACCUGCUGUGAUGAUGAAACGAAGAAUAUUCUCAACGAAUCUACCGAUUUAGCUCUUCAAGUCCGCAACAAUACCCAUAUUAAAAAAUACAAUUUGCCGGUUCUGGUGAGUGCAACUGGACAUAUAUCCGGACAUAUAUCCACAGACUCUAACUCUAAGGUGGAUUUGAUGUUUACCGCCGAGCCUGAUCCUUUGCUGGAAGACAGUGAUGCGAAACCGAGAACUUUUCGAGCUCGGGUUUUCUUCCUACACAAGUAUGUAGAGUUUGUUGGUCUCCUCCCUCCUACCAACCUCACCUGCUAAUAAUAGGUAAUCGAUUUUUCAUUUUGCUUUUCUCAACCAAAGUUUCUUACUCUUCAUAUACCUAUGUACAUUUUAAUGAAUAGAGAAUCCUUAACUUCUUCUAAGACCACCAUCAAGAAAUCUAUUGUCUGAAACUGAUGAUUGAUUGCUCUGAUAAUCUUUUGUUUGGUUUGAUUUUAUUCUGUCUUGGAAUGUUAAUUUUUCAUACUUUCAUAGAAAAUUGCACCAUAAGACAUGUUAAAUAUGUGUUAGUGAAAAAUGUGUAUAGAAAAUUGCACCAUACGAUGUAUCAUGUAUGUCUUAGUAAAAAGUGUGUUAGCAAAAAGCUUACUUUGACCAUCGUAAUUUAAUUACAUACAGAUAAUAUAAUAUAAUUAUACUAACCAAAUAUUAAGUUGCAAUUCUUAAUUAUUGUAGCUCUUAGUUGGAUUGAUCAGUUUUACAGGGUUAUUUCUCAUAAAUAAGAGAAUUUUGAAACUUUGUGUUUUGACACUACCAUUAAAUUAGAAUGUAGUUAGAAUAAGAUUCAACUAUUGGAUAAAAAUUGAUUUGCCUAAACAUAUAACAUCGUCAGUAUAUAUAAGCCAAUUUGAUUAAUGGACUUUGGAAUCGGUUUUGCUCGAUAUAUUUAAUCAUAUAUACUCGCUAACCGAAAAUAUAUAUAUUUUUAUAAAUAAUUUACACUAGCCAUUUGAAAAGUUUUUACUUUUUUUAGUUGUGCGUACGUAUAUUUAUCUUUAUAGCCUGAUACAUGACAAAAUAAAUAAAAAGUUUAUAUCUUUUAGCAUGAAAACAUGAGAAGAGGUCAAUUAAUUGCAAUGUAGUAUGUGAAGUAUGUAGUCCUUCCAGUUACACUGCUUAACAACUUUCUAGCUUUAUAUGCUUUUACUAGCAUUUAACAUCUUUUUUGGUUUUUCGUUUGCAGGUGUUAAUUUCCAUAUAAUCAGAUUUUGAAUCUUUUUUUUUUAUUUGUGAAAAAUUAUGAUGGCGUGUGGUGGUCAAUACCGCGUAGAGAAGGCUGGAACAAAUGCUAUGCUUACGUAUUUCGACAAUUUGCAUGUUACUGCUACAUUUCUGUGCAUUUCACUACUGGUAAGAUGCUCUACUAUACCCUGAGUUUCUCAAUCAAUUACGAAAAAAUGAAAAUAUCUUGAAAUUGCUAU